GGCUGGUCCAACAGUAGUGGAUUAUCAUAACUUACUAACGUCAGUGUCACUAAAGUUGGUAUACAACGUCCCACUGCUACAUUUGACUAGCUUAAU
This 96-nucleotide Y RNA is filed under the name Microcebus murinus (gray mouse lemur). Its description in RNAcentral is "Y RNA (ENSMICG00000042699.1)". It matches the Rfam family "Y RNA". From Rfam's summary of the family: Y RNAs are components of the Ro ribonucleoprotein particle (Ro RNP), in association with Ro60 and La proteins. The Y RNAs and Ro60 and La proteins are well conserved, but the function of the Ro RNP is not known. In humans the RNA component can be one of four small RNAs -- hY1, hY3, hY4 and hY5. The record is from Rfam by way of RNAcentral. Lineage: Eukaryota; Metazoa; Chordata; Mammalia; Primates; Cheirogaleidae.